This is a long non-coding RNA of Gossypium arboreum, 1276 nucleotides long. RefSeq lists it as uncharacterized. The transcript is spliced from 2 exons. The record is from RefSeq and is a predicted model, not a curated record. NCBI's taxonomy places the organism in Eukaryota, Viridiplantae, Streptophyta, Magnoliopsida, Malvales, Malvaceae.
AGAAUUAAAAAAUAAACUAAGAAAUAAAAAGGAAAAAGGAAAAAGGAAAAAGGAAAUCCAAAAGAUAUAUCCCAGUCAAAUCGAAUAGCCUGGCCAUUUAUUGCUUCCAUCGUCUUUUCAUGUCCAUCAGCCAUACCUUUUCAGAUAGCCUUUCCCAAAAAAUUUCAAUGUAUCUGCUAUCCUUGACCACUCCCUUCUCCUUCCCCAGACAACUUCAAUCCAGAUUUUCUCUCCAUCUUCCCUCUGGAUCUGCUACUCUACGGACCGUCAUUUCCCCCACCAGGUAUGAUUCAUCUUUUCUCUCUAAAACUUCUUUUACUAAGUUAUCGGUUUGAGUAUUCUUCGAUCUGUGGAUAAAUUGGAAAGUGACAUCUUGAACACUAAAUUUUCUAAUCUGUAUAUCAUGAAUAAUCACUCCGAGAACCGACUUGUCCAUUUCUUUCGAUUGGCAUUUUUUAAUGACUGUUUUUGAAUCCCCCUUUAUUGUUGCUAUUGUUAACCCCAUUUUUAUUACUAAUUUGAUGGCAUCUAAACCUGCGAGGGCUUCUGCUGCGAACGGGGAGGGGAUAUUCAUAUUCUCAUGUAAAAUUGACUUUGAGGCUUUUAAAUCACCCGUCUGGUCUCGAACAACUAUACCUGAGGCCGAUCUGGCAUUUCUUCUGUCAAAGGCUGCGUCAAACUAAACUGUAGUACCCUCGUCGCCUCUGUUUGACCAUUGACUCUUUCGGUAGUAAAGCUCCAUAUUCACCAUAACGCACAACAAAAGGACUGACACUGUUCAUUUGUACUCCUUUCAAAAACCCAAGUUAGCCAUUCCCAUAAACUUUGAUUCCUAUGAACUAUAGCUCAAGAGAGGUUGAUGUGUUGCCAUAUUUCACUGGUUGCAGGACAUAGUCUAAAGAUAUGGCUACUAUCUUCUUCUUCAAGUCUGCACCGAGGACACCGGACAUUGUCUGACACUUUCUUGUAUCUUAGAUUUACUAAUGAAGGGAUGUAGUUCCAGGAGAUUCGCAAUACUAUUAUUUUAAUUUUUGCUGGUAGCUGUAAAUCCCAUAGCUUUCUAUAGAAGUUUUUUGUUUCAGGUUGUAUUAAAUAACUAUUAAGAUCCAAGCUAGAAUAUUGUAAUAGUUUAUAGGCGUUUUUUACUGAGAACUCCCUUGAGGGUUCUUCUUUCCACACCUGGAAAUCUGCAUGUUCUGUCUCUACAAAAGGGAUAUGCAAAAUCUUUUGUGCUAUGUCUGGUUGAAAGGUAUUGCUGAUCAGAUCUCGUUUUCAA